RNAcentral lists this ribosomal RNA (535 nucleotides) under uncultured bacterium. RNAcentral's name for it is "bacterial SSU rRNA". It matches the Rfam family "Bacterial small subunit ribosomal RNA", at positions 976 to 1509 of the family's 1533-position model. The record is from RNAcentral.
UGGCCUUGACAUACUAAGAACUUUCCAGAGAUGGAUUGGUGCCUUCGGGAACUUUAGAUACAGGUGCUGCAUGGCUGUCGUCAGCUCGUGUCGUGAGAUGUUGGGUUAAGUCCCGCAACGAGCGCAACCCUUUUCCUUAUUUGCCAGCGGGUUAAGCCGGGAACUUUAAGGAUACUGCCAGUGACAAACUGGAGGAAGGCGGGGACGACGUCAAGUCAUCAUGGCCCUUACGGCCAGGGCUACACACGUGCUACAAUGGUCGGUACAAAGGGUUGCUACCUCGCGAGAGGAUGCUAAUCUCAAAAAGCCGAUCGUAGUCCGGAUCGCAGUCUGCAACUCGACUGCGUGAAGUCGGAAUCGCUAGUAAUCGCGGAUCAGAAUGCCGCGGUGAAUACGUUCCCGGGCCUUGUACACACCGCCCGUCACACCAUGGGAGUUUGUUGCACCAGAAGUAGGUAGUCUAACCGCAAGGAGGACGCUUACCACGGUGUGGCCGAUGACUGGGGUGAAGUCGUAACAAGGUAAGCGUAGAUGA